This 460-nucleotide ribosomal RNA is filed under the name uncultured beta proteobacterium. Its description in RNAcentral is "bacterial SSU rRNA". It matches the Rfam family "Bacterial small subunit ribosomal RNA", at positions 202 to 645 of the family's 1533-position model. The record is from RNAcentral. Lineage: Bacteria; Pseudomonadati; Pseudomonadota; Betaproteobacteria.
AAGCAGGGGAUCGUAAGACCUUGUGCUUUUGGAGUGGCCGAUGCCUGAUUAGCUAGUUGGUAGGGUAAUGGCCUACCAAGGCGACGAUCAGUAGUUGGUCUGAGAGGACGACCAGCCACACUGGGACUGAGACACGGCCCAGACUCCUACGGGAGGCAGCAGUGGGGAAUUUUGGACAAUGGGCGCAAGCCUGAUCCAGCAAUGCCGCGUGAGUGAAGAAGGCCUUCGGGUUGUAAAGCUCUUUCAGUCGAGAAGAAAAGGUUGUGACUAAUAAUUGCAACUCAUGACGGUAUCGACAGAAGAAGCACCGGCUAACUACGUGCCAGCAGCCGCGGUAAUACGUAGGGUGCGAGCGUUAAUCGGAAUUACUGGGCGUAAAGGGUGCGCAGGCGGCUUUGUAAGUCAGAUGUGAAAUCCCCGGGCUUAACCUGGGAAUUGCGUUUGAAACUACAAGGCUAGA